GAUGAACGCUGGCGGCGUGCCUAAUACAUGCAAGUCGAGCGAACAGACGAGGAGCUUGCUUCUCUGACGUUAGCGGCGGACGGGUGAGUAACACGUGGAUAACCUACCUAUAAGACUGGGAUAACUUCGGGAAACCGGAGCUAAUACCGGAUAAUAUAUUGAACCGCAUGGUUCAAUAGUGAAAGACGGUUUUGCUGUCACUUAUAGAUGGAUCCGCGCCGCAUUAGCUAGUUGGUAAGGUAACGGCUUACCAAGGCAACGAUGCGUAGCCGACCUGAGAGGGUGAUCGGCCGCACUGGAACUGAGACACGGUCCAGACUCCUACGGGAGGCAGCAGUAGGGAAUCUUCCGCAAUGGGCGAAAGCCUGACGGAGCAACGCCGCGUGAGUGAUGAAGGUCUUCGGAUCGUAAAACUCUGUUAUUAGGGAAGAACAAAUGUGUAAGUAACUAUGCACGUCUUGACGGUACCUAAUCAGAAAGCCACGGCUAACUACGUG
RNAcentral lists this ribosomal RNA (497 nucleotides) under uncultured bacterium. RNAcentral describes it as "partial 16S ribosomal RNA". It matches the Rfam family "Bacterial small subunit ribosomal RNA", at positions 28 to 507 of the family's 1533-position model. The record is from RNAcentral.